This 468-nucleotide ribosomal RNA is filed under the name uncultured bacterium. RNAcentral's name for it is "partial 16S ribosomal RNA". It matches the Rfam family "Bacterial small subunit ribosomal RNA", at positions 28 to 507 of the family's 1533-position model. The record is from RNAcentral.
GACGAACGCUGGCGGCGUGCUUAACACAUGCAAGUCGAACGGAAAGGCCCUGCUUUUGUGGGGUGCUCGAGUGGCGAACGGGUGAGUAACACGUGAGUAACCUGCCCUUGACUUUGGGAUAACUUCAGGAAACUGGGGCUAAUACCGGAUAGGAGCUCCUGCUGCAUGGUGGGGGUUGGAAAGUUUCGGCGGUUGGGGAUGGACUCGCGGCUUAUCAGCUUGUUGGUGGGGUAGUGGCUUACCAAGGCUUUGACGGGUAGCCGGCCUGGGAGGGUGACCGGCCACAUUGGGACUGAGAUACGGACCAGAAUCCUACGGGAGGCAGCAGUGGGGAAUAUUGCACAAUGGGGGGAAGCCUGAGGCAGCAACGCCGCGUGCGGGAUGACGGCCUUCGGGUUGUAAACCGCUUUCGCCUGUGACGAAGCGUGAGUGACGGUAAUGGGUAAAGAAGCACCGGCUAACUACGUG